RNAcentral lists this microRNA precursor (65 nucleotides) under Panagrellus redivivus. Its description in RNAcentral is "microRNA prd-mir-87 precursor". Its record names the gene prd-mir-87. Lineage: Eukaryota; Metazoa; Nematoda; Chromadorea; Rhabditida; Panagrolaimidae. The record is from miRBase by way of RNAcentral.
GGCCUGGGACUUGGACUCAACCUGCGUAGGCUCGAAGUUCGAGGUGAGCAAAGUUUCAGGUGUGC